RNAcentral lists this transfer RNA (71 nucleotides) under Sphaerodactylus townsendi. RNAcentral describes it as "tRNA-Val". It matches the Rfam family "tRNA". Rfam says of the family: Transfer RNA (tRNA) molecules are approximately 80 nucleotides in length. Their secondary structure includes four short double-helical elements and three loops (D, anti-codon, and T loops). Lineage: Eukaryota; Metazoa; Chordata; Lepidosauria; Squamata; Sphaerodactylidae. The record is from RNAcentral.
GGACAGUGGCUCAGUGGUAGAGUAUCUGCUUGACAUGCAUAAUUUCCCAGGUUUAAUCCCUGGCAUCUCCA